UUAGAGGCAAACGGGUGGAACCGCAUAGUCGAUCCGGGGGAUUCAACCUGCCGUCUGGGACGCGCUGGGGUGCCGGAGACGCCAAGGCCCGCUCCUCGGCGUCCGGUCUCCGGUCGGUCUGGUACACUUUCCUCUGGUCGAACGCCACGACCGGCUCUCUGGCGGCCACAAGCCUGGCUGGGAAGGUGCUUUUCGGCUCGCCCGGAAGAGUUAUGCUCUCCCAACCGCGAGCGUUGGAAGGGUUCGACAGGCGCGAGGUGCUUCGGGCCGGUGGCGAAUCGGUCGGUCUUCCUCCCACCAGUCUUGA
RNAcentral lists this ribosomal RNA (307 nucleotides) under Echyridella menziesii. Its description in RNAcentral is "partial 28S ribosomal RNA". Lineage: Eukaryota; Metazoa; Mollusca; Bivalvia; Unionida; Hyriidae. The record is from RNAcentral.